Non-coding RNA from Python bivittatus (Burmese python), 1560 nucleotides. NCBI's taxonomy places the organism in Eukaryota, Metazoa, Chordata, Lepidosauria, Squamata, Pythonidae. The record is from RefSeq and is a predicted model, not a curated record.
ACAAGGAUUGGUCAUAAAGUUACUUUUUCAUCACUGUCGUAACUGCAAACGGUCGCUAAAUGAGGACAACCUAUAACUCCCUGAUAAGAGUUAUGCUCAGGCUCCAAGAAACAGCACUAGCUGAAUCCAUGACACAGUCCUGCCCAUUUUGCCUGAUUGCUGUGUCCCUGUGACCUUUGGCCACUAAAGCUGCCCAUCUCAUGUAGCGACUCUACGUAUAUGAGAGACCACCAUGGAAUACCCGGGAUGCACACUAGACUGGGAAGCUGAAAACACAUUCUGGAGGAAAUCAGACCACUUCUGCAUUGCUAUCAUGAAAACUACAUGGAUGUGUCCAUGACAUCACCAAGGUUUAUGAAGGUUUUAUCUUUUACAUACAAGACAGAAAUAUCAGCAAUUUCUCAGCUGUUGAGUACAUGUGCCAUCAAUCCCUCCUCUCAGCACAAAAAUGUUAUAAUAAAAUUGCUAGUUGUAUAAUAAAAUUGGUUACCUACAAUACCAAUCCCUGAUUCUGUUGUAUCCCUGUCAAACUGUAUUGUCUUGAUUUAUGGAUGUGCUAGAUGCUCUAGCCAACUUGACUGUUUUUUUCUCUAGCACUGUGGCAGCCACCUUCUACAUGUUACCAGUCCAGAGGAAAACAUCCACGAGUCAGGGCACUUUAGCAUGAAAGGAGUGAGUUGAUAUUACUGCAUAGUCCCAAGACUCCACCUGGGCUUCUGUAGGCUUGUCUGUCUGUCCUUCUUUCCACACCCCAUCUGGAUAUCUCACAAGUUCAGAAUAAUGUGAAAUAAAGAAAACAUAUUGAAAAAUGGCUCCCAAUCAUAAGCAUUUUAUAUACUGCUAAAUGAACUGAGCAACUCCAAACAGAUUCUGAUUUGCCAAUGUAAUUUGAAAGGACACAUGAGGGCAGAAAGAGGAAGGAAAUAGAUGGCUGCUGGGCAACCAGCUCUCCUACAAUGGCAGGGUAAAUAUUUGAAACUGACAACUAGCAAUGUGACUAACUACAGUGACCGUGCCCUUGUCACUACUCACCUAGAUUACUGCAACCCACUCUACAUGGGACUGCCUCUAGAGACCACUCAGAAACUUUUGUUGUUCCAAAGCAUAGUGGCCUAAGCAUUAUCUGGCACUUACAUGAGGUAGCACAUUAUGCCUGUUCUACAGGCUCUUGGCUUCCAGCUGCAAUUUAAAGUGCUGGUGUUAACCUAUAAAGCCCUUUAUGGAUUGGCAUCAAGUUACCUUCUUGCGUGCUGGGACUAGCAGCAGGUGAUUCCCCACUUAGGGAGAUGUGGGGAAUUGAGGCACAGAAGCACUGCUUUUCUGUAGCAGUAGAAAGGCCUUCCAUCAGAAUGUAGGUUAGCCCAGACUUUGGUUGACUUAUGAAAACAGCUGAAGAUGGAGCUCUUCCAGAAGGCAUUUGAGACCCUGUUUUUUGGAUUUUGUGAUUUGCAUGUUUCAGGUUUGUAUGAUUUUAACUGGACCGUGGAUAUCUUAAUAUUCUUUGUAUUCCUGUAAAGCUGACAAGACUCCCGUGGCAGCAUAUAAAUGUAAUAAAAUAAU